This 625-nucleotide ribosomal RNA is filed under the name uncultured Methanimicrococcus sp. RNAcentral describes it as "bacterial SSU rRNA". It matches the Rfam family "Archaeal small subunit ribosomal RNA", at positions 52 to 682 of the family's 1478-position model. The record is from RNAcentral. Lineage: Archaea; Methanobacteriati; Methanobacteriota; Methanomicrobia; Methanosarcinales; Methanosarcinaceae.
UGCGAGUCGAGAGUCUUUAAGGACUCGGCGUACCGCUCAGUAACACGUGGGUAACCUGCCCUAUGCUGGAGAAUAACCUCGGGAAACUGAGAAUAAUGCUCCAUAGUUCACCACGCCUGGAACGGUGGGUGGAUCAAAGCUCCGGCGGCAUAGGAUGGGCCUGCGGCGUAUCAGGUCGUAGGGGGUGUAAAGUACCCUCUAGCCUUCAACGCGUACGGGUUGUGGGAGCAAUCGCCCGGAGAUGGAUUCUGAGACACGAAUCCAGACCCUACGGGGUGCAGCAGGCGCGAAAACUUCACACUGCAGGAAACUGUGAUGAGGGAAUUCCAAGUGGUAUGACAAAGUCAUAUCUUUUACCAACUUUUAAUCGGUUGGUGAAUAAGGGGUGGGAAAGACCGGUGCCAGCCGCCGCGGUAAUACCGGCACCCCAAGUGGUCGUCGCUUUUAUUGGGCCUAAAACGUCCGUCGCCUGUUUGGUACAUUCGUGGGUAAAUCAACCAGCUUAACUGGUUGAAUUCUGCGAGGACGGCCAGACUAGGGACCGGGAGAGGUAUGGGGUACUCUCAGGGUAGGGGUAAAAUCCAGUCAUCCUGAGGGGACCACCUGUUGCGAAGGCGCCAUACUA